This 253-nucleotide ribosomal RNA is filed under the name uncultured bacterium. RNAcentral describes it as "partial 16S ribosomal RNA". It matches the Rfam family "Bacterial small subunit ribosomal RNA", at positions 524 to 776 of the family's 1533-position model. The record is from RNAcentral.
UACGAAGGGGGCUAGCGUUGUUCGGAAUUACUGGGCGUAAAGGGCGCGUAGGCGGCGUGUCAAGUCAGGCGUGAAAGCCCCGGGCUCAACCUGGGAACCGCGCUUGAGACUGGCAUGCUCGAGUUCGGGAGAGGAUGGUGGAAUUCCCAGUGUAGAGGUGAAAUUCGUAGAUAUCGGGAAGAACACCGAUGGCGAAGGCAGCCAUCUGGACCGACACUGACGCUGAGGCGCGAAAGCGUGGGGAGCAAACAGG